Non-coding RNA from Tetranychus urticae (two-spotted spider mite), 1931 nucleotides. The record is from RefSeq and is a predicted model, not a curated record. Lineage: Eukaryota; Metazoa; Arthropoda; Arachnida; Trombidiformes; Tetranychidae.
AAUUCCCUUUCUUGCUUGAUUAUUUAAAUUGAGAUACAGUUUGAUUCCAUAUUGACUGUUACCUUUUCAUCUUCAUCAUCACUUCCACCACCACCACCACCAACAUCAUCAUCAAUUGAAAUUACCUGAAAGAACCAAGUUUCACCUUUUGAUUACCCAAUCUUCUGCUCGUUUUUACAGUUUUACAGUCAAUUUACAAUUUUACCCGUUCAGUUUUCAGUGUAUUUUUUUAAUUGUUUUUAAAUUCUGCUAUUAAUACCUUGUGAGUUUUUUAUCUUCAAAUUUUUUAAUAAAAAUGCGUGAAAUUAUUCAAAUUCAAACUGGACAAUGUGGUAAUCAAAUUGGUUCCAAAUUUUGGCAAGUUAUUGCUGAUGAACACGGAAUUGAUGGCAAUGGGAGAUGUACUGCUAUCAAUGAUCUUUCUAGCAAAGUUACUAAUGACCGUACCUCUAAGUUGGAAAGAAUUAAUGUUUACUUUAAUGAAGCCGGAGAGGGAGUCUAUGUUCCUAGAUCCAUUUUGGUUGAUCUCGAACCAGGUACAAUGGAAGCAGUAAGGUCAGGUCCUUUAGGAGGCAUAUUUCGACCAGACAAUUUUAUUAAUGGCCAAUCUGGAGCUGGUAAUAAUUGGGCAAAGGGUUAUUACACCGAGGGAGCAGAAUUGGUUGAUUCAGUGAUGGACGUUUUACGUCGUGAAGCUGAAAGGUGUGAUUGUUUACAAGGUUUUCAGCUGUGUCACUCUUUAGGUGGUGGUACCGGUUCUGGUAUGGGUACUUUAAUUAUUUCUAAAAUUCGAGAGGAAUAUCCUGAUCGUAUUAUGACUACCUUCUCAGUUUUUCCAUCACCUAAAGUGUCUAACACUGUUGUUGAGCCUUACAAUGCAACUCUCUCAGUUCACCAAUUAUUGGAGUCAACUGAUAUGACCUUUGUUAUUGACAAUGAAGCUCUUCAUGAUAUUUGUUUACGCUCAUUGAAACUUUCUGAACCAACCUAUGGUGAUCUCAAUCAAUUAGUAUCUUACACUAUGUCCGGAGUCACAACUUGUCUUCGUUUCCCUGGUCAAUUAAAUGCUGAUCUUAGGAAGCUGGCAGUAAACAUGGUUCCCUUUCCUCGUUUGCAUUUCUUUGUUUCUAGUUUUGCUCCAAUCAUGUCAAGAGCUUCUCGUAAUUUCUCUAGUUUAUCUGUACAUGAACUGUCACAACAGAUGAUUGAUUCAAAGAAUAUGAUGGCUGCUUGUGACGCUAAACAUGGCCGUUAUUUGGCUGUAGCAGCUAUUUUCCGUGGUAAAAUGUCAACCAAAGAAGUAGAAGACGAAAUGACUGCAAUGCAAAGUAAAAAUUCAGCCUAUUUCGUUGAUUGGAUUCCUAAUAAUGUAAAACUGCUGUCUGUGAUAUCCCACCAAAAGAUUUCCAAUGUCAGCCACAUUCAUCGGCAAUACAACUGCCAGUCAAGAGGUAUUCAAAAGACUCCAAGAACAAUUCUUUUCCAUGUUCAGGCGAAAAGCUUUCCUUCAUUGGUAUACUGGUGAAGGUAUGGAUGAAAUGGAAUUCACAGAAGCACAAUCUAAUAUGGCUGACUUGAUUGCUGAAUAUCAACAAUACCAAGAGGUUGGAACAGCCGAUGAAGAUGAAGAUGGAAGAGAAGAAGAAGCUGAUUAUAACUGAAAAUUUCACCAAGUCUUGUUAUCUUGUUUCAUAAAAUGCCCGCUGUUCUGUGUUUAAUGUUUUAUUAGAAAUGAAAUCAUGGUCUCACUAUAUGUUUUAAUCAAAAACCAUUAUUUUUAACCAUUAAAAAUGAUUUAAUACUAAACAGUUUUACUCCUACAUAAGUAAUGGAGAAAUUAAAUUUCAUUGAACCAUUUGUUAUUUCUGUAAUUAAAGAAAAACCAUUGAAAACGAUAAAGAAGAUAAUUAAACGAGAGAUUCUUCUAAUAA